RNAcentral lists this ribosomal RNA (492 nucleotides) under uncultured bacterium. RNAcentral describes it as "partial 16S ribosomal RNA". It matches the Rfam family "Bacterial small subunit ribosomal RNA", at positions 29 to 507 of the family's 1533-position model. The record is from RNAcentral.
AGUGAACGCUGGCGGUAGGCCUAACACAUGCAAGUCGAACGGCAGCACAGUAAGAGCUUGCUCUUACGGGUGGCGAGUGGCGGACGGGUGAGGAAUACAUCGGAAUCUACUUUUUCGUGGGGGAUAACGUAGGGAAACUUACGCUAGUACCGCAUACGACCUACGGGUGAAAGCAGGGGAUCUUCGGACCUUGCGCGAUUGAAUGAGCCGAUGUCGGAUUAGCUAGUUGGCGGGGUAAAGGCCCACCAAGGCGACGAUCCGUAGCUGGUCUGAGAGGAUGAUCAGCCACACUGGAACUGAGACACGGUCCAGACUCCUACGGGAGCCAGCAGUGGGGAAUAUUGGACAAUGGGCGCAAGCCUGAUCCAGCCAUACCGCGUGGGUGAAGAAGGCCUUCGGGUUGUAAAGCCCUUUUGUUGGGAAAGAAAAGCAGCAGGUUAAUACCCCGCUGUUCUGACGGUACCCAAAGAAUAAGCACCGGCUAACUUCGUG